Long non-coding RNA from Vespa crabro (European hornet), 2415 nucleotides. RefSeq lists it as uncharacterized. The record is from RefSeq and is a predicted model, not a curated record. The transcript has 2 exons. Lineage: Eukaryota; Metazoa; Arthropoda; Insecta; Hymenoptera; Vespidae.
GUAUGACGUAAAUAACAUGAGAAUAUGCAUUAAUUAAUCUAAAUAUACAACUUUCUUUAAUGGAUUUAUAAAGAAGAAAAUUAAUUAAACUAAAUUUAAAUAUAUUCAUUUAUAUUCAUUUUAUAUAUUCACUAAAUAAAUUUCAUAAAUUUCACUAAAAAAAUAAACAAUAAAAUCAGUUACCGUGUUAAAAAUUAACGUAAAAGAUAAAAAGUAUAUAAUAAUUAAGACAAAAGAUAACAAUUGUAUCGGUUAUUCAACAAACGUAGAAUUAACAUAAGAACAAUCGUAAGAUGACGUUCCAAAUGCUUAUGUGCGUCUAAGGGUUCAUAUCUUGCGAGUUGAGAGCGGAUGCGCCACCGAUCGGCUGCUUCUACCCCCACCCUCGCACACUGACGAGUUACGCACGAGCACGAGCAUCCUAUGAGGGGUGGUCGUAGAGAUAGAGAGAAAAAGAGAGAGAAUACAGGCCAAGAGAGCCCCCGCUGACUGGUCUCAUCGAUCCCUUUGGACGAUGCGACGACGAUAACGUCGACGGUAGUCUGGACCAGAACGUCGUGCUGAUCUCUUCUCUUUAUCUCUCACUCUCUUUCUUAGCUAACCACAUCUGCUUCUUGUCUCGUCAUACUUCGUGGUAUAAUUUCCUUAUUUCGGUUUUCUUUCCGAAUUCCGCUUACUUUCAUCAUGUACAAAUUUAAUUCUUGAAAUGAAAAGAAAAAAAAAUUAAAAGCAUCGAUAAAUUAUAUUCUCUCUCACUCUCUCUCUCUCUCUCUCUCUCUCUCUCUCUCUCUCUCUCUCUCUCUCUCUCUCUCUCUCUCUCUCUCUCUCUCUCUCUCUCUCUCUCUCUCCCCCUUUCUCUCUUUUAUCACGUGCGUUUACAAAUCGGUAGUACACGCAACCACGUGUAUAAGACUUAGUGAAUCAAUAUACGUUUAUCACGAAUGUGAGCACAUCUUUCAUUUCUUUUACUCUUUGACUCUUUUAGACCUAACGCUCGCAUUUUGUGUGACGUGUACCCAUCCUCUUGCUUUCUGUAUAUAAUUGUAUUAGUGCGCGUAAUGUGUGCUCACACUCGCUGACGUGCGUGAGUAUUUCCAUAGUGUCGACAUCGUCACAAUCAUCGUUCAAAAGGUAGAAGAAGACAUAAGCUUAUGCUCGGUGAUCCAAAUUCAGAGACAUGUGUACGCCGGAGGAGGCGAAGAUCAACCUAAGAGAUAACAGCUCAGUAUAACUUUGAAUUAUUUACUUUGACGAGGAACUUUAACCGAUGAUGUCAUCGAAGCGAAUAUCAUCAUUUCAAGUUUAUCGCGAAAAUAUUUCGAACUAAAUAAUAAAUCGAUUCAACGGGAUUAGAAAUCAAGAGAAAUAUUGUUGCAUUUCAUUUUUUCUUCAAUAAAUAACGUACUAUGUAUCUAAUCACAAAAAAAUAAUAAAGAAAAUAUAUUCUCCCUACCUGCCAUAUGUCGUCCAUCGUAAACAUCGUAUACAUUUAUGACAGCUGCUCAUUUAUGAAUUACUUUUACGUUCGUAUAUCUUAUCAGAGAUUUAUAAUAUACUAUCGGACGUCUGCCUUUACGAAACACAUUUUAAAAUCGACCGUAAAUUUACAAUGUAAAAAGAAAACAUCUGAAAAAUAUCUACUUCGAAUUAAAUAACAUAUGUUAUCUAAUUGAGAUAAGAAAUGAAACGAAUGCUAUUUUUGAAAUAUUUUGAAAUAUUUUUGAUAUAUAUACGAAUGCUAUUGGAAAAAUACGUUAUCUCAAUGGAAUUACACAAUGCCAAAACCAUGCCAAUCAUCUGCAUACAUAUUAUUAUGUCGUUAAAAUCUAAUAACAGUUAGUCAUCCUUAAUCUUUUAUUUAUUAUCUUAACCAUUCCUUCUUGAAUUAUUCUUGUUUUCACCAAAUCUUUUAUCGUAUUAACGUAUAGUUUCAAAACAAUCUAUAGAAUUAGAAACGGAACGCGAUGAGAUCACUGAGUAUUUAGACAAAAACGCCCGAAGACCGUGCAUUAUAUGAUUCCGAUGCAUAUGGUCAAAUGUCUCCAGUUUUGCUUAUCGUUAUGCCACUCUCCUUUGCAAUAGUUUUUUGGCUUUAUUAGCGAAUAACUCAGUUUGCAAUAAACAUUUAUGAGGAAACAUUGAAUUAUAACGCCCUUAAGAAUAAAAUAAACGCUCAAUCUCCCUACAUGAUCUUUUAUAAUUUUAUUUUUCGUUGCCUUAAAACUAUUAAAAACCUCCACGUUGCGAUGCGUCUAAUUUAUAAAUUCUAACAAUCAGUUAAUUUAUGUUACCCACCGAGCACUAUGUACAUUAAAUUAGAAUGAAAUUACAUUCCCGAUUCGAAAUUUCAAAUAUUUUCUUAAUUUUUAUUUAAAUUUAUAACGUGAUAAAUAAACUAUUAAGUAACAGUACAAA